GGUACUGGUGAUACUGGGAGCGCUGGGAGGUGACGUCAUCGUUAUACUGGGAGCGCUGGGAGAUGACGUCAUGGUGGUACUGGUCAUACUGGGAGCCGCCAUGUUGGUACUGGGAGCACUAGGAGCCGCCAUGUUGGUACUGGGAGCGGCCAUGUUGGUACUGGUGAUACUGGGAGCACUGGGAGAUGACGUCAUGGACAUACUGGACGUACUGGGAGCCGCCAUGUUGAUACUGGGAGUACUGGGAGAUGACGUCAUGGUCGUACUGGUCAAACUGGGAGCACUGGGAGCCGACGCCAUGUUGGUGCUGGUUAUACUGGUCAUACCGGGAGAUGACGUCAUGGUUGUACUGGUCAAACUGGGAGCACUGGUCAAACUGGGAGCAGCCAUACUGGUCACACCGGUGGCCUUGGUGACACUGGCACUGGUAGCACUGGUGACACCGGUGACACUGGAACUGGUCAAACUGGUGACACUGGGAGCGGUGACAUUGCUCAAACUGGUGACACUGGUGACACUGGAGCUGGUGACAUUGCUCAAACUGGUGGCACUGGGACCGGUGACACUGCUCAUACUGGUGA
RNAcentral lists this long non-coding RNA (581 nucleotides) under Zonotrichia albicollis (white-throated sparrow). RNAcentral's name for it is "lncRNA (ENSZALG00000000302.1)". Lineage: Eukaryota; Metazoa; Chordata; Aves; Passeriformes; Passerellidae. The record is from RNAcentral.